UAAGGAAUAUUGCUCAAUGAGAGAAAUCCUGAAGCAGCAACGCCGCGUGGAGGAUGAAGGGUCUAUGACUUGUAAACUCCUGUAAAGAAGGAAAAAAUUCCCAUUAGAUGGGAGAUGAUGGAACUUCUGGAGUAAGCCCCGGCUAACUACGUGCCAGCAGCCGCGGUAAUACGUAGGGGGCAAGCGUUGUCCGGAUUUACUGGGUGUAAAGGGUGCUCAGGCGGAUUUGUAAGUCAGAGGUGAAAUCUUACAGCUUAACUGUGAAACUGCCUUUGAUACUGCAAGCCUAGAGUAUGGAAGAGAGUGAUGGAAUAUCUGGUGUAGCAGUGAAAUGCGUAGAUAUCAGAUAGAACACCAAUGGCGAAGGCAGUCACUUGGUCCAUUACUGACGCUAAAGCACGAAAGCGUGGGUAGCAAACA
Molecule: ribosomal RNA, 420 nt
Filed under: uncultured bacterium
Lineage: Bacteria
Description: bacterial SSU rRNA
Rfam family: Bacterial small subunit ribosomal RNA
Source: RNAcentral